Molecule: ribosomal RNA, 508 nt
Filed under: uncultured bacterium
Lineage: Bacteria
Description: partial 16S ribosomal RNA
Rfam family: Bacterial small subunit ribosomal RNA
Source: RNAcentral
GACGAACGCUGGCGGCGUGCCUAAUACAUGCAAGUCGAACGCUUCUUUCCUCCCGAGUGCUUGCCCUCAAUUGGAAAGAGGAGUGGCGGACGGGUGAGUAACACGUGGGUAACCUACCCAUCAGAGGGGGAUAACACUUGGAAACAGGUACUAAUACCGCAUAACAGUUUAUGCCGCAUGGCAUAAGAGUGAAAGGCGCUUUCGGGUGUCGCUGAUGGAUGGACCCGCGGUGCAUUAGCUAGUUGGUGAGGUAACGGCUCACCAAGGCCACGAUGCAUAGCCGACCUGAGAGGGUGAUCGGCCACACUGGGACUGAGACACGGCCCAGACUCCUACGGGAGGCAGCAGUAGGGAAUCUUCGGCAAUGGACGAAAGUCUGACCGAGCAACGCCGCGUGAGUGAAGAAGGUUUUCGGAUCGUAAAACUCUGUUGUUAGAGAAGAACAAGGACGUUAGUAACUGAACGUCCCCUGACGGUAUCUAACCAGAAAGCCACGGCUAACUACGUG